Molecule: long non-coding RNA, 1233 nt
Filed under: Salmo trutta (river trout)
Lineage: Eukaryota; Metazoa; Chordata; Actinopteri; Salmoniformes; Salmonidae
Description: lncRNA (ENSSTUG00000045481.1)
Source: RNAcentral
AUGCAACCAUCAUUCAGCUUUGAGAAACAUCCAAUGUCCAAUCAGUUUACCGUGUUCUUCACCUAUCAUCGUACAUUACUAUUUAAACAGCCACGUUACUGCUCUCCUUAUCAAAUACAUCGUACAUUACUAUUUAAACAGCCACGUUACUGCUCUCCUUAUCAAAUACAUCAUACAUUACUAUUUAAACAGCCACGUUAUCGCUCUCCUUAUCAAAUACAUCAUACAUUACUAUUUAAACAGCCACGUUAUCGCUCUCCUCAUCAAAUACAUCGUACAUUACUAUUUAAACAGCCACGUUACUGCUCUCCUUAUCAAAUACAUCAUACAUUACUAUUUAAACAGCCACGUUAUCGCUCUCCUUAUCAAAUACAUCAUACAUUACUAUUUAAACAGCCACGUCACCGCUCUCCUUAUCAAAUACAUCAUACAUUACUAUUUAAACAGCCACGUUAUCGCUCUCCUUAUCAAAUACAUCAUACAUUACUAUUUAAACAGCCAUGUUACCGCUCUCCUUAUCAAAUACAUCAUACAUUACUAUUUAAACAGCCACGUUAUCGCUCUCCUUAUCAAAUACAUCAUACAUUACUAUUUAAACAGCCACGUUAUCGCUCUCCUUAUCAAAUACAUCAUACAUUACUAUUUAAACAGCCAUGUUACUGCUCUCCUUAUCAAAUACAUCAUACAUUACUAUUUAAACAGCCACGUUAUCGCUCUCCUUAUCAAAUACAUCAUACAUUACUAUUUAAACAGCCACGUUAUCGCUCUCCUCAUCAAAUACAUCAUACAUUACUAUUUAAACAGCCAUGUUACUGCUCUCCUUAUCAAAUACAUCAUACAUUACUAUUUAAACAGCCAUGUUACUGCUCUCCUUAUCAAAUACAUUACUAUUUAAACAGCCACGUUACUGCUCUCCUCAUCAAAUACAUCAUACAUUACUAUUUAAACAGCCAUGUUACUGCUCUCCUUAUCAAAUACAUCAUACAUUACUAUUUAAACAGCCAUGUUACUGCUCUCCUUAUCAAAUACAUCAUACAUUACUAUUUAAACAGCCACGUUACUGCUCUCCUUAUCAAAUACAUCAUACAUUACUAUUUAAACAGCCACGUUACUGCUCUCCUUAUCAAAUACAUCAUACAUUACUAUUUAAACAGCCACGUUACUGCUCUCCUUAUCAAAUACAUCAUACAUUACUAUUUAAACAGCCACGUUACUGCAUAUCGGUUGUUAUGA